UAUGAAAAAUGUAAGGCUUCAUGACAUCUGUUCUUCUCACUGCCCCAAGAAGCCUGGACUUGUGGGUUUGUGGCUCUGCUGUGCACAGGUCCUGGCGUCUGGGUGCUGGAGAGAAGGACGGGUUACUCCACUGCGGCAGAGCA
Molecule: microRNA precursor, 143 nt
Organism: Equus asinus (donkey)
Lineage: Eukaryota; Metazoa; Chordata; Mammalia; Perissodactyla; Equidae
Source: Ensembl